This 468-nucleotide ribosomal RNA is filed under the name uncultured bacterium. RNAcentral describes it as "partial 16S ribosomal RNA". It matches the Rfam family "Bacterial small subunit ribosomal RNA", at positions 28 to 507 of the family's 1533-position model. The record is from RNAcentral.
GACGAACGCUGGCGGCGUGCUUAACACAUGCAAGUCGAACGGCAAGGCCCUGCGUUUGUGGGGUUCUCGAGUGGCGAACGGGUGAGUAACACGUGAGUAACCUGCCCUUGACUUUGGGAUAACUUCAGGAAGCUGGGGUUAAUACCGGAUAGGAGCCCCUGCUGCAUGGUGGGGGUUGGAAAGUUUCGGCGGUCGGGGCUGGACUGGCGGCUUAUCAGCUUGUUGGUGGGGUAGUGGCUUACCAAGGCUUUGACGGGUAGCCGGCCUGGGAGGGUGACCGGCCACAUGGGGACUGAGAUACGGCCCAGUGUCCUACGGGAGGCAGUGGUGGGGAAUAUUGCACAAUGGGCGGGAGCCUGAUGCAGCAACGUCGCGUGCGGGAUGACGGCCUUCGGGGUGUAAACCGCUUUCGGCUGUGACGAAGCGUGAGUGACGGUAAUGGGUAAAGAAGCACCGGCUAACUACGUG